GCACAAGCGGUGGAUGAUGUGGAUUAAUUCGAUGCAACGCGAAAACCUUACUACCCUUGACAUGUCUGGAACCUUGCUGAGAGGCGAGGGUGCCUUCGGGAGCCAGAACACAGGUGCUGCAUGGCUGUCGUCAGCUCGUGUCGUGAGAUGUUGGGUUAAGUCCCGCAACGAGCGCAACCCUUGUCAUUAGUUGCUACAUUUAGUUGGGCAUCUAAUGAGACUGCCGGUGACAAACCGGAGGAAGGUGGGGAUGACGUCAAGUCCUCAUGGCCCUUAUAGGUAGGGCUACACACGUCAUACAAUGGAUGGUACAAAGGGUCGCCAACCCGCGAGGGGGAGCCAAUCCCAUAAAACCAUUCGUAGUCCGGAUCGCAGUCUGCAACUCGACUGCGUGAAGUCGGAAUCGCUAGUAAUCGCAGGCCAGCAUACUGCGGUGAAUACGUUCCCGGGCCUU
RNAcentral lists this ribosomal RNA (454 nucleotides) under uncultured Polaromonas sp. Its description in RNAcentral is "bacterial SSU rRNA". It matches the Rfam family "Bacterial small subunit ribosomal RNA", at positions 923 to 1382 of the family's 1533-position model. Lineage: Bacteria; Pseudomonadati; Pseudomonadota; Betaproteobacteria; Burkholderiales; Comamonadaceae. The record is from RNAcentral.